This 467-nucleotide ribosomal RNA is filed under the name uncultured bacterium. RNAcentral describes it as "partial 16S ribosomal RNA". It matches the Rfam family "Bacterial small subunit ribosomal RNA", at positions 28 to 506 of the family's 1533-position model. The record is from RNAcentral.
GAUGAACGCUGGCGGCGUGCUUAACACAUGCAAGUCGAACGGAAAGGCCGAAGCUUGCUUCGGUACUCGAGUGGCGAACGGGUGAGUAACACGUGGGUGAUCUGCCCUGUACUUCGGGAUAAGCUUGGGAAACUGGGUCUAAUACCGGAUAUGACGAUCUCUUGGAUGGGGUUGUGGAAAGCUUUUGCGGUAUGGGAUGAGCUCGCGGCCUAUCAGCUUGUUGGUGGGGUAAUGGCCUACCAAGGCGUCGACGGGUAGCCGGCCUGAGAGGGUGUACGGCCACAUUGGGACUGAGAUACGGCCCAGACUCCUACGGGAGGCAGUAGUGGGGAAUAUUGCACAAUGGGCGCAAGCCUGAUGCAGCGACGCCGCGUGGGGGAUGACGGCCUUCGGGUUGUAAACUCCUUUCGCAAUCGACGAAGCCUUUUGGUGACGGUAGGUUGAGAAGAAGCACCGGCUAACUACGU